RNAcentral lists this ribosomal RNA (253 nucleotides) under uncultured bacterium. Its description in RNAcentral is "partial 16S ribosomal RNA". It matches the Rfam family "Bacterial small subunit ribosomal RNA", at positions 524 to 776 of the family's 1533-position model. The record is from RNAcentral.
UACGGAGGGUGCGAGCGUUAAUCGGAAUCACUGGGCGUAAGGCGCGCGUAGGCGGCUUUUCAAGUCAGGGGUGAAAUCCCACGGCCCAACCGUGGAACUGCCUUUGAAACUGUAGAGCUUGAGUGUCGGAGAGGGUGGCGGAAUUCCAGGUGUAGGAGUGAAAUCCGUAGAUAUCUGGAGGAACACCGGUGGCGAAGGCGGCCACCUGGACGACAACUGACGCUGAGGUGCGAAAGCGUGGGUAGCAAACAGG